RNAcentral lists this long non-coding RNA (1118 nucleotides) under Equus caballus (horse). RNAcentral describes it as "lncRNA (ENSECAG00000047892.1)". Lineage: Eukaryota; Metazoa; Chordata; Mammalia; Perissodactyla; Equidae. The record is from RNAcentral.
GUCGUCCUUGACGCUCGAGCGUGGGGUGCCGGAGGACUGUGAGGCGCCGCGCGCCCGCCCCGCGCGCCCGGGUCCCGGCAGGGCAGCGCCGGCCGCGUCUGGCUCCUCCAGUUCGGUCUUUGAAACAUGUCUCAAGGAAAAAGGCAAUCUGUGAAACUAUUGAUGUUUUCCUCCCGAAACGUCUUUUUACCCGGGCAACUUAACGUUUCCACCAAUUCUUACUCGACAACUCUUCGAUGAUUUGAGCCAGUGACGGCUUUAACUCGAAGUAAUAUUUUAUAGAUAAUGGCCUCUGUAAAACUUCCUUAUUAAAGAAUAUGUUGGAUCUUGAAUCCCUUUCUGCGCUGAAGGCACCACUAGAUUAACCCCUUGCUGGUGUGGUUUGCGUGUGGGACGCGCGGCUCUGGGUUGCGAAUAUGCAGGAGAUGGUUUUUGCAGCCACUGUUCAAUUGUUCGCAAAGAGGAAUAACGCUUUCUGGGAACCGCAGUCACACUCUCUUUAGGACCGCCUGCCUGAAGAGUUUUUCCCCCUGGAAUUGAUGUAACGAUUGAUUGAUUUCUUACUUCUAUAAAGACUGGGGGACCCGCCCUCACUUAGAAUCUUUUUCCGAAGAGAAUGGGAGAGAGCAGUGUGAUGUUUUUCAAAUUGUGUCUAACGGAGCUCCCAAAACACCGGACUUGUUACCCCCUGAUUGGCUGGAAGGAAGCGGGACUGGGGGGUUUGAAUGUUGAACACCAGAUUACAAUUCUGGACUUUCCGAAAAAUUGUACUCUUAGAAAACCACGGAAAUAGUUACGAAACAUUAAGACAGGGAGUUAAAAAAAAAAAAAAAAGCUGGUGUUUAAGCUUUUUUUUCUUUCAUAAAGGGCUUUCGAGUGGUUCUGAUGUAUAUUAAAAGUAAAACUGAGGAGGCAAUUUUCGCAAAAUUGUAAUUCUGCUGGCUGAAAUUACAAGACUUUCGUAUAUUUGUCCCUCUUCUCUGUUGGUUAAAAACUGAGUGUAGGAUUUAGAUUUUUUAUUCCUUUGACAGAAAUUUUUCAUAUUAAGCUACAUAUAUUUGUUAGAUGCAGAUUACGGGAGAAUUGUUUUAUUUUGACGAAAAGAGACUUUAAUUUCC